CGAUUGAACGCUGGCGGCAUGCCUUACACAUGCAAGUCGAACGGUAACAGGUCUUCGGAUGCUGACGAGUGGCGAACGGGUGAGUAAUACAUCGGAACGUGCCCGAUCGUGGGGGAUAACGAAGCGAAAGCUUUGCUAAUACCGCAUACGAUCUACGGAUGAAAGCAGGGGACCGCAAGGCCUUGCGCGAACGGAGCGGCCGAUGGCAGAUUAGGUAGUUGGUGGGAUAAAAGCUUACCAAGCCGACGAUCUGUAGCUGGUCUGAGAGGACGACCAGCCACACUGGGACUGAGACACGGCCCAGACUCCUACGGGAGGCAGCAGUGGGGAAUUUUGGACAAUGGGCGAAAGCCUGAUCCAGCCAUGCCGCGUGCAGGAUGAAGGCCUUCGGGUUGUAAACUGCUUUUGUACGGAACGAAAAGACUCUGGUUAAUACCUGGGGUCCAUGACGGUACCGUAAGAAUAAGCACCGGCUAACUACGUG
Molecule: ribosomal RNA, 484 nt
Filed under: uncultured bacterium
Lineage: Bacteria
Description: bacterial SSU rRNA
Rfam family: Bacterial small subunit ribosomal RNA
Source: RNAcentral